This 90-nucleotide transfer RNA is filed under the name Bordetella ansorpii. Its description in RNAcentral is "tRNA-Tyr(gta)". The record is from RNAcentral. Lineage: Bacteria; Pseudomonadati; Pseudomonadota; Betaproteobacteria; Burkholderiales; Alcaligenaceae.
GCGCGCCGAGGACCUGUGCGAGUUCCCCUUGCUGUACUCGACGACACGGCCCGAGUCGUGGCGGCAGUGGUUCGAUGCCGCGGGCGUGCC